RNAcentral lists this ribosomal RNA (541 nucleotides) under uncultured bacterium. RNAcentral's name for it is "bacterial SSU rRNA". It matches the Rfam family "Bacterial small subunit ribosomal RNA", at positions 355 to 893 of the family's 1533-position model. The record is from RNAcentral.
UGGGGAAUAUUGCGCAAUGGGGGGAACCCUGACGCAGCCAUGCCGCGUGAAUGAAGAAGGCCUUAGGGUUGUAAAGUUCUUUCGGUAUUGAGGAAGGUUGAUGUGUUAAUAGCACAUCAAAUUGACGUUAAAUACAGAAGAAGCACCGGCUAACUCCGUGCCAGCAGCCGCGGUAAUACGGAGGGUGCGAGCGUUAAUCGGAAUAACUGGGCGUAAAGGGCACGCAGGCGGUUAUUUAAGUGAGGUGUGAAAGCCCCGGGCUUAACCUGGGAAUUGCAUUUCAGACUGGGUAACUAGAGUACUUUAGGGAGGGGUAGAAUUCCACGUGUAGCGGUGAAAUGCGUAGAGAUGUGGAGGAAUACCGAAGGCGAAGGCAGCCCCUUGGGAAUGUACUGACGCUCAUGUGCGAAAGCGUGGGGAGCAAACAGGAUUAGAUACCCUGGUAGUCCACGCUGUAAACGCUGUCGAUUUGGGGGUUGGGGUUUAACUCUGGCGCCCGUAGCCGUGAUAAAUCGACCGCCUGGGGAGUACGGCCGCAAGG